AAAAACUUAUAAUUUUUAAAAAAUCUUUCAAGAGCAAAACUUUGCAGUUUUAUAGAGGAAAAAAAGUCCUUAUAUCAAAAAGAAACAAAUAGCAGUCGCACUGAAUUCAAUUGGCCGGAAACUGCAGCCGGAGUUCGUCGUCGACCACCAGAAACAGUAACACACUCCUUUUUCUUUUUGAUGGCUUUCCAAUCACUCUUCUCAAAGUAUAAAAUCUUACCCUCUCACUUUUCCAUUCUUCUCCAACACAAUUUCAAUUUCCAUCAUCGGUUUCACUCUCUCCCAACCCCACAAAUUUCCGCUUCAACGUUACCUGAACUUGUAAACGAGAUUUCUCGUAUACUUAGUGAUCACCGACACCCUCACCAUGACCUUCAACUCUCUCUCACUCCAUUUUCAUCACAAAUUUCCACUGAUUUAGUUCAACACGUUUUGAAAAGGUGUAAUCAUCUUGCCUUUUCAGCUCACAGAUUCUUCCUUUGGGCUAAAUCAAUUCCAGGUUUUCAACACAAUGUUGAUAGUUUCCACAUUCUGAUAGAAAUCUUAGGUAGUUCUAAACAAUUUGCAAUACUUUGGGAUUUUCUUGUAGAAAUUAGGGAUUCUAAUUGUUGUGAAAUUAGUAAUGAAAUUUUCUGGCUCAUUUUUAAGGCGUAUAGUCGAGCCGAUUUGCCAGAUGGUGCGAUUCGGUCUUUUAUGAGAAUGGAUGAGUUUGGAAUUGAGCCGUGUAUUAAUGAUUUUGAUAUGCUUUUGUAUAUUUUAUGCAAAAGGAAGCAUGUUAAGCAGGCUCAACAGUUUUUUGAUCAAGCUAAGAAUAGGUUUUUGUUGACUGCUAAAACUUAUAGCAUUUUGAUUUGUGGAUGGGGUAAGAUUGCUGAUUCAGGGAAAGCACGCGAGGUGUUUGAAGAAAUGGUUGAGCAAGGAUGUCCUGUGGAUUUGCUUGCAUAUAAUAAUUUGUUAGAGUCACUUUGUAAAGGAGGCAAUGUGGAUGAAGCUAUGAAUUUAUUUCAUGAUAUGUUGUCAAAGAGAGUUGAGGUAGAUGCUUUUACUUACUCGAUAUUCAUUCGUUCGCAUUGUGUUGCAAAUGAUAUGCAUUCAGCUUUUAGGGUUCUUGACCAAAUGAAAAGAUGUAACCUUUUGCCGAAUGUGUUUACGUACAACUGCAUUAUAAAGCGACUUUGUAAGAAUAAAAUGGUGGAAGAAGCGUAUGAAUUGUUGGACGAAAUGAUUUCUAGCGGAUUAAAACCAGACACUUGGAGUUAUAAUGCAAUACAAGCUUACCAUUGUGAUCAUUGUGAGGUCAAUAGGGCUCUAAGGUUAAUGUCUAGAAUGGAAAAAGAUGAUUGUCUUCCUGAUCGACAUACGUAUAACUUGGUGCUGAAAUUACUGAUUAGGAUAGGAAGGUUUGACAAGGUAACUGAAGUUUGGGAAAACAUGGGGGAUAAAAAGUUUUACCCUUCUGUCUCAACAUAUUCUGUCAUGAUUCAUGGUUUUUGUAAGAAGAAGGGUAAACUAGAGGAGGCAUGUAGGUACUUUGAGAUAAUGGUUGAUGAAGGAAUACCGCCAUAUGUUACUACCAUUGAAAUGCUAAGGAAUCGGCUCUUGGGCUUAGGGCUUUUGGAUAACAUUGAAAUACUUGCUAAUAAAAUGAGGCAGAGUACAUCAUGUUCAAUCCAAGAAUUGGCAAAUAUUAUGACUGGCGCUAGAGCAGCUCAAAAGACUUCGAGACGUGAUGAGUCGGACAUCGAAAGUGAUUGAAUAAGUGGCUAUUUGUUUCUCAAAAUUGGUAUGGUUGGAAACAUUUUUAUUUAUGAAAAUUACUUUAUGCUAAUUUAACAAAUAUGUGGAGCAGCCUAUCUUUUUACAUCAGUGUGUGCAUUGAAGAUUCUACUUCUUUUUGCAUCAAUAAUUUAUUUGUUGUUGUGACAUUACUUUUCUCACAUUCUCUUUUUUAGGCUAUGUUUGAUUGAUGAAAGGGAUGGAAUUAUAUGAGAUGAUAUUCUGUUUCAUUAUAUAAGUUUAUUUAAAUAUGAUGAAAUGUAUUCUAUUUCAUUCCAUCUAAUAGCUCUCAUUUUUCCCCUUCAUUUUGGGAACUUGGGAUGAUUUUUUUUAUAAUGGUAAUUUUGUUCCAUUCUAUUUUGCUUCAUUCAUUCCAUUUUAUCUGAUUACAUUUCAUUCAAGUAAAAAAUGUUCCUGCAUGAUGCAUUAGCCUUUAUUGCUCCCUAGGAUUAUAAUUUCAUUUCAGACUUGUAAUCGUUAUAGCCAACACAUUUUAUUUAUCGAUCUUCUUUACAAAAACAAACAUCCUAAAAGGGUUCGGGACGUUUUGUCCAGUCUGUUAACUCCUGCUCAACCUGUUUGUUCCUCUCCUGCACACACUUCUGUUGAAAAUAAAAACUCAGUCAUGGUUUCUUUGGUUUGCAAGUCUUCUGGAUUUGAGCUCCUCUGAGAAGAACAUACAAAGAAGGAUAUGUUAGUUUUGGAAGAGCUCUUCUGGAUGUUUCCUGCGGUCACAUAAUAGAGGGAAUAGAAGAGGUCCAAAACUUUCAUGACGAAAAUGGUGUUCCGCCCGAUGGUAAUGAAACUGAAAUAGUGGCGGUACACAUCCUACAGGAAGAAAACAUUUCAAAUGUUAGUAAGGGAAAUUAGCUUGGAAAAAAAUUAAUAUUUAUGUCAGAUCUGGAGAAGAUAAUGAUGUUAAAAUGAAUUUGGAAGGACCAAAGUAUGUUGUUGGUACUUCGGGCAUCAAACACAAUCACGAUAUCGAUGAAGGAGAGAGUCUGGUUUUAUAAGAUUGUAAAUCUGCUCUUCAUCAUUGUAAAGAAGGGAUAUUAAAUGGCAGCUAUCAUUACGAAAAAAUCAAGUGCUUUGUUGAAGUAGCUUAGCUUUCAUUGCAUAUCAUUGUUUUAGAUGAUUGUUGACCAGAGUUGGACCUCUAGAGCUGGCCGGAACGUCUGAAGUGCCGUGGAGGACGGUGGUGCGAGUUCUCCGACAGGGUGGUGUAUUUGCAAGUGCUCUAAAACUCAACAAUAUUUGAUUGAGUUGGGGUGAAAGGUGCAAAAUGAAUGCUUAAAAUUAUUUUAGAGAUAGAUUCCCUUAUAUAAUUGAGGUGUUUUGGAGGGAAAAAUUGUUGGCGCUAGUAACUGAACGUGAGGAAUGUGUGGCGCGUGUGAUUGUCCGCAUCCGAAUGAGCCUUGCCCGAAUCCGAAACAAUUGUUAAUUAGGAGAUCUUAUGAAUUGGUUCGCAAGCACAAGUCUCCCCUAUUGGUAGCUCUUAUUCCACGGUUAUGUCAAUAAUGCCAGUGUUACCAGAAUGAACAUGUAUAUGCUGCCCAACAAAAUGGUACUAAUAUAUGCAUUUAGAAAUGCAAUUAUAAUUGGGCAAAGUCGGAUAAACUGAUUCAACUACGGGUUACAUCUCCAUAACAAGAACAAAAUCAAGAAUUGAGCAAAACAAGUAUGGAUAUACUUCUGUGAUUACAAACCUGAAAUACCUUUCUCUCAAUAUUAACAUGGAGCACAAUGUCGACUCUGCAUAACUUUAAGGCUCUAUUUGGGAGUUUCGACUUGAUGGGAGGGGAGGGCUUUUAGAGAGUGGAAUAGAGAGAAAUAGAGAAAAAUAUUUUAGUUUAUUUGAGAAAGUGAUUUUGUAGAUAACAAGUAAUAUAUUUUUAAUUUUUAGAGCAAUAUAACAUCGUAGAAAGUAUUUGAAGAAAUUAUUCAUACUCUUCACAA
This is an RNA transcript of Cicer arietinum (chickpea), 3732 nucleotides long. It is a transcript of the gene named pentatricopeptide repeat-containing protein At1g52640, mitochondrial, with no coding region annotated. NCBI's taxonomy places the organism in Eukaryota, Viridiplantae, Streptophyta, Magnoliopsida, Fabales, Fabaceae. The record is from RefSeq and is a predicted model, not a curated record.